GUGGGGAAUAUUGGGCAAUGGGGGAAACCCUGACCCAGCAACGCCGCGUGAAGGAAGAAGGUUUUCGGAUCGUAAACUUCUAUCCUUGGUGAAGAUAAUGACGGUAGCCAAGAAGGAAGCCCCGGCUAACUACGUGCCAGCAGCCGCGGUAAUACGUAGGGGGCAAGCGUUGUCCGGAAUGAUUGGGCGUAAAGGGCGCGUAGGCGGCCUGGUAAGUCUGGAGUGAAAGUCCUGCUUUUAAGGUGGGAAUUGCUUUGGAUACUGUCGGGCUUGAGUGCAGGAGAGGUAAGCGGAAUUCCCGGUGUAGCGGUGAAAUGCGUAGAGAUCGGGAGGAACACCAGUGGCGAAGGCGGCCUGCUGGGCUUUAACUGACGCUGAGGCUCGAAAGUGUGGGGAGCAAACAGGAUUAGAAACCCCGGUAGUCC
Molecule: ribosomal RNA, 425 nt
Filed under: uncultured bacterium
Lineage: Bacteria
Description: partial 16S ribosomal RNA
Rfam family: Bacterial small subunit ribosomal RNA
Source: RNAcentral